Long non-coding RNA from Cydia splendana, 2318 nucleotides. RefSeq lists it as uncharacterized. The record is from RefSeq and is a predicted model, not a curated record. Lineage: Eukaryota; Metazoa; Arthropoda; Insecta; Lepidoptera; Tortricidae. The transcript has 3 exons.
GCCGGUAGUUACGCAACAACGGCGAAAUGCAAAUUUUAAUGGCCGACAAGAGAGGCACUGCGACGCCUGUGGCGCGCGCAGUCAUAAUUACGCGAAUUGCAAGUUCCGGGACUAUGUGUGCAGCAACUGUCAGCGUACAGGCCAUUUGCGGCGGGUGUGCCCGGACUGGGGCGCGGCAUCGGGAACUGCGGGCCGCGGAGGAGCGCGAGCGCCGGCCCGGCGCGGAGGGGCAGCGGCGGCGGCGCCGGCGCGGAGUGCCAUGCAUUUUGGGGUGGCCGAUCACGAACCGAGUGAGGAUUACGGCGGAGACAUCGAGGAAGAAUUAGAUCACCUAUGUUUAAAUAACUACCCGGCGAUAUGAGGCGUUGUUCAACGAUGGACUGGGCCGGUACAAGGGCGGCAAGGCGACCUUGAGGGUGCGGGAGGGCGCAGCACCGGUGUUCCAUCGCGCACGCCCGAUGCCGUACGCGCUGCGCGAGCGCGUGGACGCCGAACUGGACGCCAUGCUGAGCGCCGGCGUCAUCGAGCCCGUCGACUGCUCGGACUGGGCGUCACCACUGGUACCUAUUAAUAAGGCGGACGGCUCCCUUAGAAUUUGUGCAGACUAUAAAACUACCUUAAACCCGUAUUUGUUGGUCGAUCGGUAUCCUCUCCCUAAAAUAGAAGAUGUUCUUGUAAAUUUAAAUGGCAAUAUGUACUUUAGUAAAAUUGAUCAUUCACGAGCGUACAACCAAAUUGAAUUGGACGAGUCUAAACGCUAUACGGUUAUAAACACCCACCGAGGGUUGUUCCAGUAUAACAGACUGGUGUACGGCUUAUCAUCUAGUGUAGGAAUAUUUCAGCGUAUUAUGAUAAAUUUAUUGGGUAAUAUACCUAAUGUACAAAUAUUUUUAGACGAUGUAAUUAUCGGGGGCAAAACUAAAUCGGAACAUCUACACGCUUUAGAAGCGGUUUUUCAGCGUUUACUUACUAACGGAUUGAAGUUAAGGAAAAAUAAAUGCGUUUUUUUGGCUAAGGAAGUUACAUACUGAGGGUAUGUAGUUUCUAGGGAGGGCAUCAAACCGGAUACAACAAAGAUAAAGGCGAUUCUACAAAUGUCUCAACCUCGUAACGUAUCGGAGUUAAGGUCGUUCUUAGGGACGGUCAAUUUUUUCGGUAGGUUUAUGAAAAAUCUCAGUUUAAUAUUGUCACCUCUUUAUAAACUAUUAAAAAAGGAGGCGGAGUGGCACUGGAGCAAGGAGUGCGGGGAAUCUUUCGUGCAGGUAAAACAAUUAUUGUCGGGCGCUAAAGUAUUAAGGCAUUAUGAUCCAAGCAAACGAUUGAUAGCAACUUGUGACGCGUCACCACGGGGGGUGGGGGCGGUUUUGACCCAAAUUGGACCGGAUGGCGAACGCCCGGUCGCGUACGCAUCUCGUACCAUAUAUAAACAGCGCGGAGGCGAAUUAUUCGCAGAUACACCGCGAAGCCUGAGGUAUUAUUUUUUGUGUAAAGAAAUUCCACCAGUACCUUUACGGACGUCAUUUCACAUUGCGCACAGAUCACAAACCACUAGUAUCAAUAUUUGGGCCGAAUACGGGUAUACCGACAAUGACAGCUAGCGAUGCAGCGGUGGGCAAUAAUAUUAUCAGCUUAUGAUUACGAAAUUGAAUAUGUGAAUACGAAGGAUAACUGUGCGGACGGGUUGUCUAGAUUACCUAAUGCCAAUGAGACACGGAAUAAUUCAGGUGAUGCUAUUCCCGAGCAAACAUAUCUGCAUUUCGCGCAAGACGCGUUGUUGUUAGUUUAUUAUAAGAUAAGGUACUACACUACGCGCGAUCCAGUUUUGGCUAGAGUGUUAACUUUUAUUCGCGAUGGUUGGCCGGAUAGUUGUGAUUUUGAUACAUUGAAGCCAUACUUUAACAGAAAGUCAGAAUUAUAUGACGAGUUGGGUCGUAUCAUGUGGGGGCACCGGGUAGUAAUACCGGAGAAGUGCCGCGAUAAGGUUUUAAGAAUUCUGCAUGAACCUCACAUGGGUAUAGUUAAGACCAAGGCGUUGGCCCGUAGCUAUGUGUGGUGGCCGGGCCUCGGCGAGGCGGUGGAGGCGGCGUGUCGCGAGUGCGAGCCGUGCGCCGCGGUGGCGAGCGCCCCGCCGCGACACCCGCCGCGCUGCUAGCCGUGGCCAACGCGAGCAAGGACUCGAGUGCAUGUAGAUUUCUUGGGCCCUUUUCACGGGAAAACUUAUUUAAUAGUAGUGGACGCUAUGUCAAAAUGGGUCGAAGUAUUCCAGGUUCCCAGCACGGCCGCCGUCCCAACCAUUCAAAAAUUAACCGAAUUAUGGG